RNAcentral lists this ribosomal RNA (465 nucleotides) under Vreelandella stevensii. RNAcentral's name for it is "partial 16S ribosomal RNA". It matches the Rfam family "Bacterial small subunit ribosomal RNA", at positions 338 to 795 of the family's 1533-position model. The record is from RNAcentral. Lineage: Bacteria; Pseudomonadati; Pseudomonadota; Gammaproteobacteria; Oceanospirillales; Halomonadaceae.
CCUACGGGAGGCUGCAGUGGGGAAUAUUGGACAAUGGGGGCAACCCUGAUCCAGCCAUGCCGCGUGUGUGAAGAAGGCCCUCGGGUUGUAAAGCACUUUCAGUGAGGAAGAACGCCUGGUGGUUAAUACCCAUCAGGAAAGACAUCACUCACAGAAGAAGCACCGGCUAACUCCGUGCCAGCAGCCGCGGUAAUACGGAGGGUGCGAGCGUUAAUCGGAAUUACUGGGCGUAAAGCGCGCGUAGGUGGCUUGAUAAGCCGGUUGUGAAAGCCCCGGGCUCAACCUGGGAACGGCAUCCGGAACUGGCAAGCUAGGGGGCAGGAGAGGAAGGUAGAAUUCCCGGUGUAGAGGUGAAAUGCGUAGAGAACGGGAAGAAAACCAGUGGCGAAGGCGGCCUUCUUGACUGAAACUGAAACUGAGGUGCGAAAGCGUGGGUAGCAAACAGGAUUAGAUACCCCAGUAGUC